Molecule: ribosomal RNA, 236 nt
Filed under: uncultured bacterium
Lineage: Bacteria
Description: partial 16S ribosomal RNA
Rfam family: Bacterial small subunit ribosomal RNA
Source: RNAcentral
CACGUGGGUAAUCUACCCUCAGGCCUGGGAUAACCCCGCGAAAGCGGGGCUAAUACCGGAUAAGACCACAUGAUGUCGAUCGUGUGGGAAAAGCGGAGGCUUCCUUCGGGAACUUCGCACCAGAGGAUGAGCCCGCGGCCCAUCAGCUUGUUGGCGGGGUAACGGCCCACCAAGGCUAAGACGGGUAGCUGGUCUGAGAGGAUGAUCAGCCACACUGGAACUGAGACACGGUCCAG